This 990-nucleotide ribosomal RNA is filed under the name uncultured bacterium. Its description in RNAcentral is "bacterial SSU rRNA". It matches the Rfam family "Bacterial small subunit ribosomal RNA", at positions 352 to 1336 of the family's 1533-position model. The record is from RNAcentral.
CAGUGGGGAAUUGUUCGCAAUGGGCGCAAGCCUGACGACGCAACGCCGCGUGGAGGAUGAAGGUCUUCGGAUUGUAAACUCCUGUUGCCCGGGACGAAUGGCUUCGACCUAACACGUCGAAGUUUGACGGUACCGGGUGAGGAAGCCCCGGCUAACUCUGUGCCAGCAGCCGCGGUAAUACAGAGGGGGCAAGCGUUGUUCGGAAUUACUGGGCGUAAAGGGCGCGUAGGCGGCCUUCUAAGUCGAACGUGAAAUCCCCGGGCUCAACCCGGGAACUGCGUCCGAUACUGGAAGGCUUGAAUCCGGGAGAGGGAUGCGGAAUUCCAGGUGUAGCGGUGAAAUGCGUAGAUAUCUGGAGGAACACCGGUGGCGAAGGCGGCAUCCUGGACCGGUAUUGACGCUGAGGCGCGAAAGCCAGGGGAGCAAACGGGAUUAGAUACCCCGGUAGUCCUGGCCCUAAACGAUGAAUGCUUGGUGUGGCGGGUAUCGAUCCCUGCCGUGCCGAAGCUAACGCAUUAAGCAUUCCGCCUGGGGAGUACGGUCGCAAGGCUGACACUCAAAGGAAUUGACGGGGGCCCGCACAAGCGGUGGAGCAUGUGGUUCAAUUCGACGCAACGCGAAGAACCUUACCCAGGCUUGAACUGCAGGUGACAUCCUACGAAAGUAGGUUUCCGCAAGGACACCUGUAGAGGUGCUGCAUGGCUGUCGUCAGCUCGUGUCGUGAGAUGUUGGGUUAAGUCCCGCAACGAGCGCAACCCUUGUCUUCUGUUGCCAUCGGGUUAUGCCGGGCACUCUGAAGAGACUGCCGGUGACAAACCGGAGGAAGGUGGGGAUGACGUCAAGUCAGCAUGGCCUUUAUGUCUGGGGCCACACACGUGCUACAAUGGCCGGUACAAACCGUCGCGAUCUCGCGAGAGGGAGCUAAUCGGAGAAAGCCGGUCUCAGUUCGGAUUGUAGGCUGCAACUCGCCUGCAUGAAGUUGGAAUCGCU